This 429-nucleotide ribosomal RNA is filed under the name Triticum aestivum (bread wheat). RNAcentral describes it as "partial small subunit ribosomal RNA". Lineage: Eukaryota; Viridiplantae; Streptophyta; Magnoliopsida; Poales; Poaceae. The record is from RNAcentral.
AUGGAGGCGGAGUAUAUUACUAUCAAUAUUCAAGAACAAGGGGGUGUUCAAAGUUGUAUUAAUUACCGUGGAAUUAAGCUGAUGAGCCAUACACCGAAGCUAUGGGAGAGAGUCAUUGAGCACCGCUUAAGAAGAAUGACAAGCGGGACCAAAAGUCAGUUUGGUUCCAUGCCUGGGAGGUCGACCAUGAAAGCCAUUUUCUUGGUACGGCAACUUAUGGAGAGAUACAGGGAGCAAAAGGACCUGCAUAUGGUGUCCAUUGACUUGGAGAAGGCCUACGAUAAGAUACCAUGGUAUGUCAUAUGGUGGGCCUUGGAGAAAAAGAAAGUCCCAACAAAGUACAUUGCCCUCAUCAAGGACAUGUACGAUAAUGUUGUGACAAGUGUUUGUACAAGUGAUGGCAACAUGACGACUUUCCGAUUGAAAUAG